CAGCAGCAGCCACGGGAAUACGUAGGGUGCAAGCGUUAAUCGGAAUUACUGGGCGUAAAGCGUGCGCAGGCGGUUUUGUAAGACAGAGGUGAAAUCCCCGGGCUCAACCUGGGAACUGCCUUUGUGACUGCAAGGCUAGAGUACGGCAGAGGGGGAUGGAAUUCCGCGUGUAGCAGUGAAAUGCGUAGAUAUGCGGAGGAACACCGAUGGCGAAGGCAAUCCCCUGGGCCUGUACUGACGCUCAUGCACGAAAGCGUGGGGAGCAAACAGGAUUAGAGACCCGCGUAGUCCCUGUCUCUUAUAC
RNAcentral lists this ribosomal RNA (304 nucleotides) under uncultured bacterium. RNAcentral's name for it is "partial 16S ribosomal RNA". It matches the Rfam family "Bacterial small subunit ribosomal RNA", at positions 506 to 807 of the family's 1533-position model. The record is from RNAcentral.